This 1005-nucleotide ribosomal RNA is filed under the name uncultured Leptolinea sp. RNAcentral's name for it is "bacterial SSU rRNA". It matches the Rfam family "Bacterial small subunit ribosomal RNA", at positions 92 to 1110 of the family's 1533-position model. The record is from RNAcentral. Lineage: Bacteria; Bacillati; Chloroflexota; Anaerolineae; Anaerolineales; Anaerolineaceae.
UUAGUGGCGCACGGGUGAGUAACACGUGGUUGACCUACCCCAAAGUAAGGGAUAACGGUCCGAAAGGACUGCUAAUACCUUAUAAGCUCCCGGUGUUUAGAAAACUGGGAGAAAAGUUCCGGCGCUUUGGGCGGGGACUGCGGACCAUCAGCUAGUUGGUGUGGUAACGGCACACCAAGGCGACGACGGAUAGGGGACCCGAGAGGGUGGCCCCCCACACUGGAACUGAGACACGGUCCAGACUCCUACGGGAGGCAGCAGUGAGGAAUAUUGCACAAUGGGCGCAAGCCUGAUGCAGCGACGCCGCGUGGGUGAUGAAGGUUUUCGGAUCGUAAAGUCCUUUUCUAGAUGACGAGUAAGGACGGUAGUCUAGGAAUAAGUGUCGGCUAACUACGUGCCAGCAGCCGCGGUAAAACGUAGGACACAAGCGUUAUCCGGAGUUACUGGGCGUAAGGGCGUGUAGGCGGACCUGUAAGUCUAUUCUGAAAGCUCCUGGCUAAACUGGGAGAGGCGAAUGGAGACUGCAGAUCUAGAGUGAGGAAGAGGAAGGUGGAAUUCCGCGUGUAGUGGUGAAAUGCGUAGAGAUGCGGAGGAACACAAGUGGCGAAAGCGACUUUCUGGUCCUUAACUGACGCUGAGGCGCGAAAGCAUGGGGAGCGAACGGGAUUAGAAACCCCGGUAGUCCAUGCCAUAAACGAUGUUCACUAAACGUCGGCGGGGUUUAAAUCCGUCGGUGUUGAAGCCAACGCAGUAAGUGAACCGCCUGGGGAGUACGGUCGCAAGGCUAAAACUCAAAGGAAUUGACGGGGGACCGCACAAGCAGCGGAGCGUGUGGUUUAAUUCGAGGCUACACGAAGAACCUUACCUGGGUUUGACAUCGUGUUGAAGUGCCCAUGAAAGUGGGUAUGCCUCGCAAGAGGCAAUACGACAGGUGCUGCAUGGCUGUCGUCAGCUCUCGUGCCGUGAGGUGUUGGGUUAAGUUCGCAAACGAAACAACCCUCCCUG